UGUCCGGAUUAUUGGGCGUAAAGAGCUUGUAGGCGGUUUGUCGCGUCUGCUGUGAAAGGCCGGGGCUUAACUCCGUGUAUUGCAGUGGGUACGGGCAGACUAGAGUGCAGUAGGGGAGACUGGAAUUCCUGGUGUAGCGGUGGAAUGCGCAGAUAUCAGGAGGAACACCGAUGGCGAAGGCAGGUCUCUGGGCUGUAACUGACGCUGAGAAGCGAAAGCAUGGGGAGCGAACAGGAUUAGAUACCCUGGUAGUCCAUGCCGUAAACGUUGGGCACUAGGUGUGGGGGACAUUCCACGUUUUCCGCGCCGUAGCUAACGCAUUAAGUGCCCCGCCUGGGGAGUACGGCCGCAAGGCUAAAACUCAAAGAAAUUGACGGGGGCCCGCACAAGCGGCGGAGCAUGCGGAUUAAUUCGAUGCAACGCGAAGAACCUUACCAAGGCUUGACAUAUACUGGACCGCAUCAGAGAUGGUGUUUCCCUUCGGGGCUGGUAUACAGGUGGUGCAUGGUUGUCGUCAGCUCGUGUCGUGA
This 530-nucleotide ribosomal RNA is filed under the name uncultured bacterium. RNAcentral describes it as "bacterial SSU rRNA". It matches the Rfam family "Bacterial small subunit ribosomal RNA", at positions 542 to 1070 of the family's 1533-position model. The record is from RNAcentral.